UUGAACGCUGGCGGUAUGCUUUACACAUGCAAGUCGAACGGGCUAUGGGGCUUGCUCCAUAGUUAGUGGCGAACGGGUGAGUAAUAUAUCGGAACAUGUCCGGAAGUGGGGGAUAACGUAGCGAAAGUCACGCUAAUACCGCAUAUGCCCUGAGGGGGAAAGGGGGGGAUCGCAAGACCUCUCGCUUUCGGAGUGGCCGAUAUCGGAUUAGCUAGUUGGUGAGGUAAAGGCUCACCAAGGCGACGAUCCGUAGCUGGUCUGAGAGGACGACCAGCCACACUGGAACUGAGACACGGUCCAGACUCCUACGGGAGGCAGCAGUGGGGAAUUUUGGACAAUGGGCGCAAGCCUGAUCCAGCCAUACCGCGUGAGUGAAGAAGGCCUUCGGGUUGUAAAGCUCUUUCAGCCAGAAAGAAAUUGCUUCUAUUAAUACUAGGAGUAGAUGACGGUACCGGAAGAAGAAGCACCGGCUAACUACGU
This 480-nucleotide ribosomal RNA is filed under the name uncultured bacterium. RNAcentral's name for it is "bacterial SSU rRNA". It matches the Rfam family "Bacterial small subunit ribosomal RNA", at positions 30 to 506 of the family's 1533-position model. The record is from RNAcentral.